This 335-nucleotide ribosomal RNA is filed under the name uncultured eukaryote. RNAcentral describes it as "partial 18S ribosomal RNA". It matches the Rfam family "Eukaryotic small subunit ribosomal RNA", at positions 1470 to 1796 of the family's 1831-position model. The record is from RNAcentral.
CCCUUAGAUGUUCUGGGCUGCACGCGUGCUACACUGAUGCAUUCAACGAGUCUAAAACCUGGUCUGAUAGGGCUGGGUAAUCUUUUGAAAGUGCAUCGUGAUUGGGAUAGAUGAUUGCAAUUCUUCAUCUUCAACGAGGAAUGCCUAGUAAACGCAAGUCAUAAGCUUGCGUUGAUUACGUCCCUGCCCUUUGUACACACCGCCCGUCGCUACUACCGAUUGAAUGGUUUAGUGAGGUCCUCGGACUAGUGGCGAUCGCUCGAGCUCUGCUCUGUGGUCGUUCUGCCGGGAAGACGAUCGAACUUGAUCAUUUAGAGGAAGUAAAAGUCGUAACA